UGACGCGAGAGGGAUAUAGUGUUUUUAAACAAUUUAAACAAAUAGAUCACAGCCUUUAUUCAUUCUAAAUUAUCCAGGACGUUAGACUUUCAUUAUAAGAAAUCUUGAUACAUUAAUGAUAAACCUUUAUUGAUUUUUUUACGACAAUGUUCACAUUUCACUUUCCUGAUAUAUAUAAAGAGUAUCGUCAAUUUGCAAUUAAAGUCCAGGCAAUAUUUCAUUCACUUUGUUCCUUUGUAGUUUUUAUAUAUUUUCGUCACACUUUUCCUCACGACUCUACAGAUUCAAUAUUUAUGGAGGCCGAAUAAAGCGCACACGUGAUUUUAUAGACUGUUGUUUCCUGUUCAUGUUAAACUU
This 357-nucleotide long non-coding RNA is filed under the name Mytilus galloprovincialis (Mediterranean mussel). Lineage: Eukaryota; Metazoa; Mollusca; Bivalvia; Mytilida; Mytilidae. The record is from RNAcentral.